AACAGAAAUGAGUCCUCCUGAUUUUAACCUGUUUUAAAAUAAUAUGGUGUUUAAAGCUAGCUUGGACUUGCAGGAUUACUACUGAAUUCCCUUUAGUACUUCUAUCACGGACAAUUUAGCUCUUCUUUUAAUACAAAGAUGAUUACUUUGUUUUUGUGUUCUUUUCCCAGAAACAGAUAUUUUUUAAUCUCCUCAGCCUCCCAUUAAUCUCUGGGUGCUGCUCUUGGUUUUGUCAUUCAGAAACGAUAUAAAACCUCAUUUAUAACCUUCCUGUCUCCUGUUGUCUUCAAAAUGGGCCUUGGAGAUCAUCAUGAAUCCGGGGGCAGCCUCUGCAUGAAGUGAUGCAUUCAUUGUGGCAGGGGUUCUCUUGCACUGAAGGCCUCUAGAAGAAAUGCAUACAGAGUAGUUGGGACUGAAAGAAAACAUUGCCUCAAGCACAGAUGUGAUUGAAAGCAUUUACAGUGCCACUAUGAGAGUUGCUGCACAACAUCUGUUUUGACUUUUCCAGAAGGUCUUGAGAAAGAUGAUGCAUCAGAAGUCCACUAAAUUUAGUAGGUAAUAAAAAUGAAAAACCUGGCUUUCUAUCGUAGUUUGAUUAUACUGAGGAAAGUGCUUCACAUUCUGAGUUGAUCUUAGACGUGCAAUCAGUGGGUCAUGCUUGAGUGGAAGUUUGGAUUGGUUGUCCAUCAGUAACAAUUAUCACUUUAGUACGUUGUGGCUAUUUUUACUUUCCCUGACAAUGCACCCUUAAAUGGAGACAUACUUUUUAUGAAAAGCAUAUGCUAAGUUAUUACACAUUUUAGGUUUGUAGCAGAGAGUAUUUGAAGGGAAUGAAGGAAGAUCUUUAUUUACUUCACUUAGAGGGGCUGGCAGGCACAGAUGUUAAGAUGAACUCUUCUGAAGCCAUAUUCUCAGCACAGAAAGUAAAGUUUAUGAUAACCUAGAUAACCCUGUUAAAAAAUUCACUUAUGGAAAUUCCUGCAAAUACCUAAGUGACUUUAAAUCCCUGUAACCCAUGUGUCAAUCUGCAUGUGAUUUGCAGGACUGUUUUUGCCUUAAAAAAGGAGUUUAAAAUUCAGUGUUGUCCUGGCUUCAUCUGGGAUAGAAUUG
Gallus gallus (chicken) is the source of this 1110-nucleotide long non-coding RNA. Lineage: Eukaryota; Metazoa; Chordata; Aves; Galliformes; Phasianidae. The record is from Ensembl.